RNAcentral lists this ribosomal RNA (746 nucleotides) under Corynebacterium sp. Z4_25_1. Its description in RNAcentral is "bacterial SSU rRNA". It matches the Rfam family "Bacterial small subunit ribosomal RNA", at positions 69 to 824 of the family's 1533-position model. Lineage: Bacteria; Bacillati; Actinomycetota; Actinomycetes; Mycobacteriales; Corynebacteriaceae. The record is from RNAcentral.
AUGAUGCUUAGCUUGCUAGGUGGAUUAGUGGCGAACGGGUGAGUAACACGUAGGUAAUCUGCCCUGCACUUUGGGAUAAGCCUGGGAAACUGGGUCUAAUACCGAAUAGGACACACUAUCUUUACGGUGGUGUGUGGAAAGCUUUUGCGGUGUGGGAUGAGCCUGCGGCCUAUCAGCUUGUUGGUGGGGUAAUGGCCUACCAAGGCGUCGACGGGUAGCCGGCCUGAGAGGGUGUACGGCCACAUUGGGACUGAGACACGGCCCAGACUCCUACGGGAGGCAGCAGUGGGGAAUAUUGCACAAUGGGCGAAAGCCUGAUGCAGCGACGCCGCGUGGGGGAUGAAGGCCUUCGGGUUGUAAACUCCUUUCGCUAGGGACGAAGAGUUACAUUGACGGUACCUGGAGAAGAAGCACCGGCUAACUACGUGCCAGCAGCCGCGGUAAUACGUAGGGUGCGAGCGUUGUCCGGAAUUACUGGGCGUAAAGAGCUCGUAGGUGGUUUGUCGCGUCGUCUGUGAAAUCCCGGGGCUUAACUCCGGGCGUGCAGGCGAUACGGGCAUAACUUGAGUGCUGUAGGGGAGACUGGAAUUCCUGGUGUAGCGGUGAAAUGCGCAGAUAUCAGGAGGAACACCAAUGGCGAAGGCAGGUCUCUGGGCAGUAACUGACGCUGAGGAGCGAAAGCAUGGGUAGCGAACAGGAUUAGAUACCCUGGUAGUCCAUGCCGUAAACGGUGGGCGCUAGGUGUA